This is a long non-coding RNA of Astatotilapia calliptera (eastern happy), 1212 nucleotides long. NCBI's taxonomy places the organism in Eukaryota, Metazoa, Chordata, Actinopteri, Cichliformes, Cichlidae. The record is from Ensembl.
UGGACUCCUCCAUGAGUCCAUGAUUCUGCCCUUUUUUGGUUUUUUACUUAGCUACCCUAUUCUACUAUGAUUGUGUCAGUAUCUCCACUGUGCUUUCAGCCAGAACCUCAGUGGUUGCAAAAGAAAAAAAAUCUUGGUAAUGAUUGCACAAAGUGUGACUUGAACACAGAAGCAUUUACACCUGCAACUGAGACAUGGUGGAUUUGUUUGAGUCUUUCCCAAAAUGAUGGGUGAUGCAAUUCAGAAAAAAAGGAAAAGAAACUACAGAAGUGCUGGUGUAGGAACAGAAGAAGUUGAAACAGGAAACAAAGCUAUCAGAGAGGAUUAUUUUUUAUUAGCUGCAGACUCACUCAUGUUUUCCAACCUUUGCAUCUUCCUCACUGUCAUCUGAGAAUAUAAAAUGCUUCUGCAUUCAUGCAUCUAAUCCUGUUUUUUGUUUGUUUUUUGUUUUUGUUUUUCAGUUUUGGACUCUCGGUUUCUGUUUGAUAUUUUCUGUUUGACUUUGUAGUAGUUUUCAGUUUGAAUAUCACCUUUGCUCAUGUUAUGUUUUCAUUCUGAUUUAGUAUUCCUAGUUUUCUUUGUAAGUUAUUCUCAAGAUUUUUUCCUUUUCUCCCAUGUCCCCUGUACCUAGUCUGUGUUUCUAUUAGAUCUUCCAUGUUUAGUCAGUUUUUCUCUUUGUGUUUACUUUGGUAUUCCAGCCUAUUAAUCAACCAAAGACUAAUACAGACUUUUCAUUCAUUUUAAACCCUGAUGCUUAGCCUUGUCAACUCUAGCUUGAAAACUCAAAAACCAAUGUAUUUGUUAUCAUCUACAUCGGUUAGUGUUUCUAAAGACAAUUCCUUUGCAUUCUUUCCUCACUUAGGAGAGGUUUUAAAUAAAAAACUCUUGAACCCUUGAUAGAAACAGAGUCAGUAUUGCAUCUCUGUGCCACUGAGCCAGUGAUACUAAGCAGACCUGGCUCCCACAAUGCAUCAGCUGUCCUGAAAUAUCAAUUUUGCACUUGACUUCACACGGCUCGCUCCCCAUUGGCUCAGUCUAUCCAUUUGUCAUUAGCAGACCAUCAGCAGAGUCCAACACACACAAAUGUACUGUAAUAGCACUACAGGCAGCCCUCUCUGAUGAGGGGGAGUACUCUCUCCCUUCAUCCCAGGGGUCUUCAAAGUGUUUCUCAAAAAUCAAAGAAAGAGUCAAAACAGUCUACUCGUAUAAAAU